UGUUAAAAAAACUACUUAAUUUAUGCUAACAAAACAUAAAAUUUUUACCUAUAAAUUGAUCAAAUAAUUAUGUUUAUUACAUACAAGAGAAAAAAAUAUGGCUAAAAUUUUCAUAUUUGUUUAUGCUUUGAUUAUCUUUAUUUCACUAUUUAUUUUUGAAAUCCUCGGAGAUGAUGUUAUUGUUCCCUGCAAAACUGAGGGGGAUUGUCCAAUGAAGUUAUAUUAUUUAUCAAAGUGUGUUAAGAGAUCUUGUCAUUACUAUUAAGCGCAAUAAUUAAGUUUAAAAAUAAAUACAUUAUAUGUAAGGUAUAAGUUUAUUUGUAUGUCAAUAAUGUUGGACGUUUAGACUUUAUAAUCUAUAAUAUAAUAAAAUUUAUAGUUUUGGAAAUCACAAAAAUAC
Vicia villosa (hairy vetch) is the source of this 400-nucleotide long non-coding RNA. RefSeq lists it as uncharacterized. NCBI's taxonomy places the organism in Eukaryota, Viridiplantae, Streptophyta, Magnoliopsida, Fabales, Fabaceae. The transcript is spliced from 2 exons. The record is from RefSeq and is a predicted model, not a curated record.